Molecule: unclassified non-coding RNA, 349 nt
Filed under: soil metagenome
Description: partial contains 5.8S ribosomal RNA, internal transcribed spacer 2, and large subunit ribosomal RNA
Rfam family: 5.8S ribosomal RNA (bases 1-120)
Source: RNAcentral
GAUGAAGAACGCAGCGAAAUGCGAUAAGUAAUGUGAAUUGCAGAAUUCAGUGAAUCAUCGAAUCUUUGAACGCAACUUGCGCUCUCUGGUAUUCCGGAGAGCAUGCCUGUUUGAGUGUCAUGAAAUCUCAACCAUUAGGGUUUCUUAAUGGCUUGGAUUUGGAGGCUGCCAUUCUAAAUGGCUCCUCUUAAAGGAGUUAGCAAGUUUUACUAUUGCUAUCUGGCGUAAUAAGUUUCGCUGGAAUGGUAUUGUGAAGCGUGCUUCUAAUCGUCUUCGGACAAUUACUUUGACUCUGGCCUCAAAUCAGGUAGGACUACCCGCUGAACUUAAGCAUAUCAAAAGCGGAGGA